This 496-nucleotide ribosomal RNA is filed under the name uncultured bacterium. Its description in RNAcentral is "partial 16S ribosomal RNA". It matches the Rfam family "Bacterial small subunit ribosomal RNA", at positions 28 to 506 of the family's 1533-position model. The record is from RNAcentral.
GAUGAACGCUGGCGGCGUGCCUAAUACAUGCAAGUCGAGCGAACAGACGAGGAGCUUGCUCCUCUGACGUUAGCGGCGGACGGGUGAGUAACACGUGGAUAACCUGCCUAUAAGACUGGGAUAACUUCGGGAAACCGGAGCUAAUACCGGAUAAUAUAUUGAACCGCAUGGUUCAAUAGUGAAAGACGGUUUUGCUGUCACUUAUAGAUGGAUCCGCGCCGCAUUAGCUAGUUGGUAAGGUAACGGCUUACCAAGGCGACGAUGCGUAGCCGACCUGAGAGGGUGAACGGCCACACUGGAACUGAGACACGGUCCAGACCCCUACGGGAGGCAGCAGUGGGGAAUCUUCCGCAAUGGGCGAAAGCCUGAGGGGGAAACGCCGCGGGGGUGAUGAAGGUCUUCGGGUCGUAAAACUCUGUUAUUAGGGAAAAACAAAUGUGUAAGUAACUAUGCACGUUUUGACGGUACCUAAUCAGAAAGCCACGGCUAACUACGU